RNAcentral lists this unclassified non-coding RNA (460 nucleotides) under Athalia rosae (coleseed sawfly). RNAcentral describes it as "misc RNA ENSAEAG00005003677.1". The record is from RNAcentral. Lineage: Eukaryota; Metazoa; Arthropoda; Insecta; Hymenoptera; Athaliidae.
GGUAACUUAUAAUUAUCUAUCAAUAGGUAAUAUCGCAGGUGCGCUGUCAAGCUGUCGCAUCGGCUGACGAGCCGCUGCAACAGUCUAACGUUAACGCAACUCAUAAUCGCUUAUACUCCUGCUUGCUACGGGACUUGUUCAGGAAUCACCGUAGCUGAUGGUCAAAAUUUUCAUACAAAAAAUAGGGAUCCCAAAUAUAAAAUUCAGUCAUAAAAUCCCCCAAAGUAAACGUCCGCCUCGAAACGCACUGUGAUAUAUUCUUUCUAUCGGUCAACGAUCGAUCACAACCGUAAAUCAAGGACAAGAAUAAAAGUAAGCCGCUUACCUUCGAAAGCACGAGAAACUCCACCGAAAGAAAAUCGUCGCAAGGAACCGCCUGGCGCUGAAAAUGAAGGAAAUGAAAGAGAUGGAUCGCGUGAGGGGGGUACGAGAUUCUUCAAGAACGAAGCCCGCAUAUAUU